Molecule: long non-coding RNA, 517 nt
Organism: Zea mays
Lineage: Eukaryota; Viridiplantae; Streptophyta; Magnoliopsida; Poales; Poaceae
Exons: 2
Source: RefSeq, a predicted model, not a curated record
UGGGGGAGGGCUCGCUUGCCGUGGGGGCAAGGCGGGAGGGCGAACCGGACAUGCUCAGUUCUGGCUAUAUGAGUGAUGCAGUUGUGACUUCCUUGAAAGAUAGGUCUUGUUUAAUCAGCAGACAGUUCCCCUUUGUGUAUUUCAUGGAUGGUGCAAAGACUUGUUCAAACCAGUAGUGAAGAAUCAAGAGGAGGAAGCAUCCCAAAAGGUGUCAAAAAAGAAACUGGACAAAGGAGCUAACAAACUUGGUGCUGCCCAAGCUGCAUCAUGAUCUUCCUGUGAGAAAUGUUGCCGGUGCCUUCAGUUGCAGUGGCUCCAGUCUCCAAAUGUACAAAGAUGGUUAAUACGAAUGAGGAAUGCACUUCAUGACAGGAAUCAGCUGAUUUUUUCUUGGGCUAUUGAUGUUAUCAGCAGAUCCUGUGCCUCGGCAUAUUAUUUUUCAUAGAAUGUAUAGCAUCAAUUUCACUAGUUGUACAGAAAUAUGACAUGCUCAAUCAAAGAGUUUUUGCAUAAUUCA